This 416-nucleotide ribosomal RNA is filed under the name uncultured prokaryote. RNAcentral describes it as "bacterial SSU rRNA". It matches the Rfam family "Bacterial small subunit ribosomal RNA", at positions 505 to 918 of the family's 1533-position model. The record is from RNAcentral.
GUGUCAGCCGCCGCGGUAAUACGUAGGGUGCAAGCGUUGUCCGGAAUUAUUGGGUGUAAAGAGCUCGUAGGCGGUUUGUCGCGUCUGCUGUGAAAUCCCGAGGCUCAACCUCGGGCUUGCAGUGGGUACGGGCAGACUAGAGUGCGGUAGGGGAGAUUGGAAUUCCUGGUGUAGCGGUGGAAUGCGCAGAUAUCAGGAGGAACACCGAUGGCGAAGGCAGAUCUCUGGGCCGUAACUGACGCUGAGGAGCGAAAGCAUGGGGAGCGAACAGGAUUAGAUACCCUGGUAGUCCAUGCCGUAAACGUUGGGCGCUAGAUGUAGGGGCCUUUCCACGGUUUCUGUGUCGUAGCUAACGCAUUAAGCGCCCCGCCUGGGGAGUACGGCCGCAAGGCUAAAACUUAAAGGAAUUGACGGGG